AGUUUCUUCCUGGUUCUUUCAUUAGAUUAUUACGUUUCAAGUAUUGAAGAUUGCAACAUUGCAAUAGAUCCAUCACUAGGGGCACUUAUCUCAAAUCAUACAUAAUGUGUCAUAACCCCCCCUCACAUAUGUCACUCCUCUUUAUGAUUGCAUACUAACCAUGCAUGAUAAUAUUACUUUUGAAAUACUGCUGAACUCAUGGAGUUUCACAAGUGGUGUGGUCAGUGUGAAAAGUACACAAUCAGCCAGUUAACUAAUAUUGUGAUGUGUAAAUGAUGGAGGUAAAUGAAGAAGUGGUUAUAAAUGUCAUUGUGUUUCUAAAUCUCAUGGGAAGAUGAAUCAUUUGUCAUUUGUUUAGAUUAUCAAUGGGGAGGAAUAGGAGCCGAUGUGAUGUCCAUAUUGGAGGUAGACUAAGCGAAAUAACCUCCAUAACAAUGUGAGCCAUCAAACAAUAUUUAAUUCAGUCAUUUAACUCUAUGUCUUGCCUUCUGCUCUUCAGAGACAAGUAAAUCAAGAAGACUCAAAAAAUAGCAGCAGAAUGCAGAUCAAGGGGAUCGUUGGUUAAGGUCAACUCUAGUUUGAACUUCGAGGAACGUGUAAACAAGCUUAAAGCAAACAAAAGAAACAUUGAUGACCUAGCGUGCCGCAUGGACUGCACAUAAUAAUAUAAGGUUUGGGAUGUCUUUUCACUCGUAUGGUGCUUGUAGAUUUUUUGAGGGGUGCUUGCUAUUAAUAGAAGACUCAAUCUACUUUGUCACAUGUAUAUUGGGGAUACCUAGCAAAUUAAGGGCAGAUCUUUAUUGUGCUCAUUGAAAGGAAGGAGAAUGAAGAAUGCACAGCCAACGAUGUAGAGCACCCACAAGCAAGAUCAUGGUAUGUGAUACCGUAUCGAACCGUAUGGUAUAGAGCAUAUAGUACCAUACCGGUUGGUCCGAUACAUGGUCAGCCCGCAUACCGACACAGUGACAGUGUGACACCAAUAUAAGGCUUGAUACCAAGACGGCAUAUCUUGAGCAAGAUUUUCAUCUCGAUCGUGAUCUCGGCUUGUACCGCUGUCAGGCACCCUCCUAUAUAAUACAUAUAAAGUUUUGGCCCUUUAUCUUGGCCGACAUAAAUAGAUAAAAUCUAAGAUAUCAACAGAUAUGACAUACUCAUAAUGGCUGAUAUUUUUUUAAUCAUUUUUUACUUCUUUAAAUUGAUUUCUUAAUUAAUUAAUCUUGAACGAUGCUUGGAUAUAGUUUUUAAUCUCAGAUUCACUACAUCGCCGAGAUUCCAGUAUAUGGGCCCUAAAAAAUAAGCUGAAAUUUUGGAAAAUCUUAAUUUCCUCCAAAUUUACCUGUAUACAAUAUUGGCCAAGAUAAAUUGAGAUCUUGGCCACUUACCGAGAUAAUUGAUAUACCUUGCCCCCAAGCAAAGGAAUAAAGAAGCAUAUUCACUGAAUUAAAAUGAACGAAUGUGCAAUUGCCUUUUUAAGAACACAUGUUUAUGGAAUUAAAUUGAGAGGGGGAAGUACCUUGUUAUCUUGCAGCCUUGGACAAUAUCAUCACCCAAGACAUCAAAAUAAAACAAAGAAGUUUACAUCUAUAGAUGCCACCUUGAUGGUAGUCCUAAUCUCCCACAAGUGAAGGGCAACUAAAACAUGGAUGCAUAUAUUGGGAGAAAUGAAAAGAAAAGCAAAGGGAAAAAAGCAUGAGGUUGCUCUGCAGUGCAUCUUGCAGCACAAAAAUAUACACCUUGUUUGGAUUUUUGGCCGAUGCAUGGAUUGUUAGCUGUCUAACAGAAAUUAGAUUCUUGAAAAGUUUAUAACUUGAAGAGGUGCCAAAUGACUGCCAAUAAAUUUAGUGUGAUAAUAUCUGAGGAAGGGUAGCAUGUUUACGAGAUAUAUUGGGAAAGUGAAAUUAACUAUGGUUAAAUUUGUAAGAAGGAAGAACAAAGAAAGGAACAUUUAAGGGUAGAAGGAUCUAAUGACUUCGUGUGAUGUGCAAAAGCAUAUGGAAGAAAAUUCGGCUGACAGUAAGGUAGUAUAAGCUUUGACAUCAUUCUGAAACUACCUUUGGUGGGUCUGGUGUAGGUGCUCCUCAAGCUGAGCAAUCAUAAACCUUGGUGAACUUAGGGAGAUCAACCUGGGUCAAAUGGAGGUAUCAGAGGAAUAUGAUCACAUUCUUGCUUCUUAUGCGAUUCUGGCAUGCAUGUUUAUGAUCUCUUCUGAUAAUUGCGCCAUUUUUAGCUGGAUAAAAGUCAAAGUAACUAGAAAAUAGAUUGUCACAUGAGCUACUUGAUAGUAGGAUUUUGAGGAAAGAUGGAUGAGUCCAUGAGUGGUGAGACUAAUAAAAUAUAUCAAUAGAUGAUUGAUUGAAGGAUCCAGAUAACCAAACUCAUAUCUGAUGAUGCAUGAGGGUUGGGUUUUAGUUUUGGUCAUUAAGGUGACGCACAAGUGACAUCUCUUAUAGUCAGGUGAAUGAUUGUGAACUUUGUGUCCUGAUUGCUCCACUAGCAAGUAAAAAUAAUUGAGAAGGGAAAAUUUUGAACAAGCAUCAUUGUUUUGAGUAUGGGUUCUGGUGGGCAACAACAAGACAUAGGAAGUUUCUCUAAAGAAGCUAGACAUAGGAAGAAAGCAGUGGCCAGAGUAACACAUGGUGGGUAUGCAAAAAUUUCAUAAAUUAAGUUUCCAUGGUGGGUCAAGCCAAUGAACAGAGGGCCUCCAAAAAACAAAAAAACUUAAAAAAGGUGGAAGCUGAAGAAGCAAAAUGGACAUAGAGCUCAAUAGAAGUGGAUGGUUAAAGACAAGUCUAGGUAAGAGUAGGAAAAUUGCGCUUUCUAUGCUAAAAUAAUUACACGUCUAUUAAGUCUCUGAAGGAAGAAAUAUUUUGGGAAGACAGAAGGGGAGCAAUAAAAUCUAGCUUAACCAGACUGAAGUAGCAUGAUUUUAAUAUCUAAAUCCGAGGAAAACCUUUGAGGUUCAAAUUUAUGAAGGAAACUAUUGAAUCACAGUGCCUUCUGGUGAUUUGGAAGCAAAAGAACAUUUGGUGAUUUGGAAGCAAAAGAACACAAUUAAAAUGGAAAAAAAAA
Phoenix dactylifera (date palm) is the source of this 3069-nucleotide non-coding RNA. NCBI's taxonomy places the organism in Eukaryota, Viridiplantae, Streptophyta, Magnoliopsida, Arecales, Arecaceae. The record is from RefSeq and is a predicted model, not a curated record.